CGCAGCUGCGCUCUCUGGAUGUUCCGAGCGCACGCACUAGCCGACAAACUGCAAACGUCGUUCCCUUCCAAAAAAACAGCACACCGAUACAUCCCUUUCGCUAUCCUUAUCCCGGUCCCUCUCCAGAAAAAAAAAAGCCUUAUCCCGAUCCCUUUCCUCCUCUCAGAACGGAGGUGAAGAAGCACGGGAGCACACCGGAGCGUCGAUGUGGAGGCGGCGGAUCAGAGGAGCCGGCGAAGAGGUCGGCCAGGACGGGAAUAGCAGCGCCACCGUCUCUUCCUCCCAAAUUUUCAGUGCGGAGCUGGAGUAAUGCCGUCGGCGUCGUGGUCGAUCCGUCAAGGGUGCGGGAUGUGGGAUGUCCACCCAUCCGCAACUACUGGAAGAACACGCUGGCAGCGAGUGUCCCCAAGAGCAAGGGAGGAGAUGAUGUUGCAGCUCAAGGGGGCCUCACUACCUGAAGGUGAGCAUGGAUGGCGCCCAUUUUCCCCCAUCAAAUUUGUACAAAUUCGUUGCAGAGCAAUGGACAUUUGUGUUUGAAUCAGUGGGUGAAUAUUUUGCAAUCAAUAGAUAGGCAGUUAUGUGAAUUAUGGGGAGAAAGCAGUCCCUUGGAUUUCUAGAAGAGUUGCCUCGUAUUGUAAUGCAGUUGCUUGAUUUUGUUAGAACAGUUGUUUGGUUUUUGCUAGGCCAA
Molecule: long non-coding RNA, 688 nt
Organism: Triticum aestivum (bread wheat)
Lineage: Eukaryota; Viridiplantae; Streptophyta; Magnoliopsida; Poales; Poaceae
Exons: 2
Source: RefSeq, a predicted model, not a curated record